AGUGAACGCUGGCGGCGUGCUUAACACAUGCAAGUCGAACGAGAACGGAAUAUAGCUUGCUAUAUUUGUCAGCUAAGUGGCGCACGGGUGAGUAAUAUAUAGAUAACCUGCCCUUAAGAAAGGAAUAACAGUUGGAAACGACUGCUAAUGCCCUAUAUGCCUUUAAUACAUAAGUAUGCAAGGGAAACGCUUUAGUGCUUAAGGAUGGGUCUGUAUGGUAUCAGCUUGUUGGUGAGGUAAUGGCUCACCAAGGCUAUGACGCCUAACUGGUUUGAGAGGAUGAUCAGUCACACUGGAACUGAGACACGGUCCAGACUCCUACGGGAGGCAGCAGUGGGGAAUAUUGCACAAUGGACGAAAGUCUGAUGCAGCAACGCCGCGUGGAGGAUGACGCAUUUCGGUGCGUAAACUCCUUUUAUAUCCACGAUACUUGACGGUACCCAUAAAGGAAGCACCGGCUAACUCCGUGCCAGCCGCCGCCGUAA
RNAcentral lists this ribosomal RNA (485 nucleotides) under uncultured bacterium. Its description in RNAcentral is "partial 16S ribosomal RNA". It matches the Rfam family "Bacterial small subunit ribosomal RNA", at positions 29 to 523 of the family's 1533-position model. The record is from RNAcentral.